This 497-nucleotide ribosomal RNA is filed under the name uncultured bacterium. RNAcentral describes it as "partial 16S ribosomal RNA". It matches the Rfam family "Bacterial small subunit ribosomal RNA", at positions 28 to 507 of the family's 1533-position model. The record is from RNAcentral.
GAUGAACGCUGGCGGCGUGCCUAAUACAUGCAAGUCGAGCGAACGGACGAGAAGCUUGCUUCUCUGAUGUUAGCGGCGGACGGGGGAGUAACACGUGGAUAACCUACCUAUAAGACUGGGAUAACUUCGGGAAACCGGAGCUAAUACCGGAUGAUAUUUUGAACCGCAUGGUUCAAAAGUGAAAGACGGUCUUGCUGUCACUUAUAGAUGGAUCCGCGCUGCAUUAGCUAGUUGGUAAGGUAACGGCUUACCAAGGCAACGAUGCAUAGCCGACCUGAGAGGGUGAUCAGCCACACUGGAACUGAGACACGGUCCAGACUCCUACGGGAGGCAGCGGUAGGGAAUCUUCCGCAAUGGGCGAAAGCCUGACGGAGCAACGCCGCGUGAGUGAUGAAGGUCUUCGGAUCGUAAAACUCUGUUAUUAGGGAAGAACAUAUGUGUAAGUAACUGUGCACAUCUUGACGGUACCUAAUCAGAAAGCCACGGCUAACUACGUG